This is a long non-coding RNA of Cyprinus carpio (common carp), 744 nucleotides long. RefSeq lists it as uncharacterized. The record is from RefSeq and is a predicted model, not a curated record. NCBI's taxonomy places the organism in Eukaryota, Metazoa, Chordata, Actinopteri, Cypriniformes, Cyprinidae. The transcript is spliced from 4 exons.
AUAUUUAAUUCCCCUGGUGAUUUCCCUCUUUAAGUUUACGUUAUGAUGCAGUUAUGCGUGCUGUCUCCUUUAAGAGUUUGUGCAUGCGCACGAUAGAGAGAGUGCGCGUCAGAGGGGAACAGAGAGCGCGCUGAUUGAAGCAGCAGUUGUGUGACUGCACCGAGUGGAUGACCUAAGUCAGUGUUUAUAUUAGUGUCUGUUGCUGCAUAUGAGAGAUCUCCGGUGGGGGAGGGGAUUCAGGCCUACUUCGACGGAGAUUGAGCAGGGGAGAACAAGCUUGUGAGAUCGCACGUGCCAGUUUCCACGUGAUUGAUAAUCCGGAGUCUCAUAUAACAGCACAUAUAAGCCACUGCCGUUGUUUUGCACACCUUUAUUGGUUCUUUAUCAUUGGUUGCACUAUUUCAAGUCAAAUUGGGGCUUGUGAUCUGGUGUUUUGAUUAGAGGUUAUUAUUGUAAAGGACUUAUUUUUAUUCUUUACAUUUCUUUUUAUACCUUAUUUCACUUUCUGUGCCCAUUGAAGUGAAUUGGGUAACGUCAUUUAUUUUGUUUUAUUAUUGUUUUAUUUGACUUUUCUUGUUUAACUGGAUUGAAGUCCUGAGAAAAUACAAUUUUUCCCCCUGAACCAAACAUUAAUGCUGGGUCUCCAUUUGAGGCUCAGUCAAGAAUAAAAGAAUCCUUUUCAGUAGAUGUCUUGGCAUUGUCUUUUCCUUAGUAUAUUAGAAGGACGUCAAGCCGGCCACACAU